Molecule: small RNA, 28 nt
Filed under: Bombyx mori (domestic silkworm)
Lineage: Eukaryota; Metazoa; Arthropoda; Insecta; Lepidoptera; Bombycidae
Description: ovarian small RNA-5883
Source: RNAcentral
UAAUUUACAGUAUAAGCUAUAUCCGGUC